AGAGAAAAUACACUCAACUACACAUAGUGGAUGAAGCAGCUGAGGCAGAGGGAGAGGAAAACUAAUGUGUCCUGCCCUUCUAACCAAGUCUAAUAAUUUCAUUUGGGAGAAAGAAAGAAUCCUUAUAUAUUGCCAUAAAAUGGAGACAAAGUAAUAAUUCGAUAUAAUCUAAGGGAAGAGUUAUUAGCAUAUAAAGCUGGUCCAGAAUCAUUUAUUGAAGCACACCAAAAAUGAGAGGUUGCAAUCAGCGAUAAACUGUGUCUUUCUGGAUUUAGCAAACAGUAUAGUGCAGAGGUUAGGAACACAACAGUCUUCUGUAUCAGAUUGCUCCCAGGUUUUAAUCCCAAUAUGAUUAUUUUCAAUAGGCACAUUAUGUAAUCUUUGUCUGCCUCACUUUCCCAGAGAAUUUAAUGGAGAAAAAUGCAACCACACGUGGUUAUGGUAAAAAUGAACUGGGUUACUUUAUAUAAAACCCCUAGCAGAAUUCCUAGCUUAGUGCAAGUGCUCACACAGCUGUAGAAGAAGCAACUGUUGGAAGUCAUCACUGAACACGAAGAGUUUUUUUAAUGGAUGAGGGAAACGGUUAUCAGUAGGAGCUCUACCUGUGACAGGUGCUUUAUAUUUAGUAUGUCUCUAACUCUAGACAAGCACAUCCACACACCUCAAGCUUACAGUUAAAGAAUGGGCAUUUUGCCCACUUUUAGCAAGGUAUUAAAUAAGUUAAAGCAUAUACAAAGGGCUCCCAAGAGCUCCUGACACACAGUACCUAUUCAGUAAGUGUUAGCGCAGAGUGAAGAAAAAUUAGAACACGUUCUGCUGGCCAUGAGAGCACAUUAUACAUCAUAGGGUCAUUACAAAUUAGCCGUGUUUUGUAUUUGGCUUAUAAACCAUGUGCUAAGAAUAGCAAAUAUCUAUACACAAGUGGAAGCUCCUGAGUAAAAUGUAAGGCCCUUUAAGUUUUCUUUAAUAAUCAGAGUGAAGAAAGGCAGCAGGAAAGACACAUCUACUGCUCAGCCGAAAGCAGCCCUGACACGCCAUUUCCUGGGACUGGUACUGCCAGCAUGUGAUGGAUAAAUGGUCUGCUCUCCAUCUGAGAGGCAAGCCUUCUCUUACUGGAGCCCUGGCAUUUUCUUCAAGAGGACUGCCAAUUGUCUUAAUGUUCCUACGACGUGCGUAAAUGACUGAGGUUUCAGAUUAGAAGGCAAGAGCCGUCACCUCCUGCCCUGUCUUCUUCCUAGGGAAGGUUCCUGAAUCUUCUGGACAGAGCUGCUCUUAAGAAAGCCCUCCCAACAUGAAAUAUAUUAUAAAAGAUACAUAGCAUUCCAUCUACAAGAUACUGUUUGGUUCUUGGCCAUAACAAAUAGUGGUCCUUAAGGAGAAGGAUGCCACAGCUCCCUUGCCAUAAGGAGCCUCUUGAUGAACUCAUUUUUAUAAGUUUAUGCCCAAAUGUCCCAAAAUGAAUCAUUGGCAUUUAGAAGCUUUGCCCCCAUUUGUCUUAAAAGCCAAACCGAACCAAACCAACAACUUUGCUAGAGCAGAAGUCAUCUAUGAUCUUGUAGGAAAUGAAAGCAGUAUUAAAUCCAUUCAGCUUCCAGCUAAAAGAAGACUCCAGAGCUCAGGAAGGAGUGUUGUCAAAGACGGUGCAAUGAAAGACUAUGUCAGGGGCACUUGGGUGGCUCAGUCAGUUAAGCAUCUGCC
Canis lupus familiaris (dog) is the source of this 1698-nucleotide long non-coding RNA. RefSeq lists it as uncharacterized. The record is from RefSeq and is a predicted model, not a curated record. NCBI's taxonomy places the organism in Eukaryota, Metazoa, Chordata, Mammalia, Carnivora, Canidae. The transcript has 3 exons.